CACAAAGGUCCCAAAACAGAUAAAAAUUACGUGAGAGAGAGUUUGAUAGGGUGUUUUCGGAAUGAAGGUAGUGCAUUGGCUUCUAACGGUGGCUGUGGCCUGGUGGUUUCGACAAGGCGGAGCUGCCGCCAUGUGCGAACACCAGUGUGGGCACGUGACCGUACCUUAUCCAUUCGGGCUCCAAACCGGGUGUGUGAGGUCCCCAGAUUUUUUGCUCAAUUGCACCAACACUGAAGGGAGCGGUCUUCAACUCAUGUUGGGGAAUCUUACCAUACGCAAAAUCUCGCCCCGGGGCUCGACCAUGGUCGUCAGCCUCCCCGAAGCAUACAAGUGCUACAAUCAGAAUGGCACGCUAGCAAACGAAAGCAAUUCUGUGGUCAUCGAUCUGUCUCCACAUCCUCGGUACAGAUUCUCGGAAACCCUGAACAAACUCACCGUCCUCGGCUGCGACACCAUGGCGGUCGUGGCCAACAGUGGAGGGACGUUGGGGGGCGGGUGCAUCUCCUACUGCGGGAACAACGUAGCCAACGAGACCACUUGCUCCGGUCGAGGUUGCUGUCAAGCAUCCAUCCCAAAGGAGUUCAAGACGCUCAACAUUAGCAUCUCCUCCCUCAACCAAAACGCGUCGGCCUCGCAACUCGGCUACUGUGCACGGGCCUUCGUGGUGGACAACAGGUCAUUCGAUAUUUCAAACUUGACUCGUCCGAGGUUUGAGGAUGUGGGCAACACCCCGGGCCUUGUUCUAGACUGGAUGGUCGAAUCGGACGUAAGAUGCAACACGGCCGAGCGGAACAGGUCGAGCUAUGCCUGUGGUCCCUACGCGGCAUGUAAGGACUUUGAGGAUGAAUUGGGUUAUCGCUGCGCUUGCAACGAUGGGUACGAGGGGAAUCCCUAUAAGGGAUGUACAGACAUCGAUGAGUGCAAGUACCCAAAAAAAUAACUAUGUAAAGGGAAGUGCAAGAAUACGGAUGGGAGCUACAAAUGCGAUUGCCCAAUAGGAAAGAAGAAGAGCAAGAAUAAAGGCCAUUGCCAAAUUAAUCGUGGCGGCAUAGCUGGUGGAGCAAUUGCCGUGUCUGUCUUCGGCAUGACUGUUACUGCUUCUGUCUCGGUCACGAUGAGGUUGAGACUCAGAAAGAUCAACUUCAUACGAAAUGGAGGAGAGCUCAUGAAACAGCGCAAAGUUCAAAUCUUCACGGAGGCAGAGCUGGCAAAAGCAACCAACAACUAUAAUGACAGUAAUAAGCUCAACGAUGACCAUUCCAGUUCUGUUUAUGGAGGGAUAAUAGCAAGGGACACCGUGGUCGUGGUCAAGAAGCCUAAAGAUGAGCACAAGUCUAUAAUAAGGCAGGAUUUCCAAGAUGAACUUGAAUUUCUGAUGGGAAGAAGCCACAAAAAUAUGGUGAAGCUCAAAGGCAUAUGUUUGGAGACUGAAAUACCAUUGCUGGUAUAUGAAUACAUUCCGAAUGGCACCCUUUUCCAACACAUCCAUCAGAAUACGUCGACCAUCUUAAAAUCGUGGGAAGACCGCUUUAGAAUAGCUACCCAAGCUGCUCAUGCACUUGAUUAUAUGCACUCCAGUGCAAAACCCCCAAUCGUUCAUGGUAACAUCAAGUCAAUGAACAUACUUUUGGAUAAAAAAAACUCGGUGAAAAUAUCCGAUUUUGGAACUUCGGUACUCAUAUCACCAGAGCAUAGACAUAUCAUAGCCACUCAGAAAAAAGACUUGUUGGGCUACAUUGAUCCGGAAUAUUUAGUCACCGGUAUGCUAACAACUCAGAGCGAUGUAUACAGCUUUGGAGUUGUCCUUGUGGAGUUGCUCACAAGAAAGAAACUUUAUGUCACCGAGUCUGGAGAGUCGAUCAAUACUAUCCAUCAUUUCAUCUCUUCCGUGGAGGGCGACACACUCUCCAAUGUCAUAAACUUUGAGGGUGCUAGUGAAGGUGAAAUGGAGAAAAUACGAACCGUCGCUAAGAUUGCAGUGAGGUGCUUGGACCAAAGCGGUGCGAACAGGCCGGCAAUGAGCGAUGUGGCUCAGCAACUCGCCAAUGUCAACCCGAGCUCGACAAUUGAAGAAGAGAAUGACGAGACCGAACGGGAAGUGGAUGCAGAAGAACUCUCAAGCUGUCUUUCUUGUCUGGGAAUGGAUUCAGCUUCUUCCUGCAUCUGAUCCAUUAUUACCAUAGCGACAUGUCUGUCAAUUUGCCCGUAAGGACUUCUAGGGUUGAUCGUGUGCUUUGAAUAUAUGUUAUGUGUGCCAUUUGCUUUUGGACUUUAUAUUUGUGGAAGCAUCUUUGCAAGUUCAAGCGUGAGAAUUUAAUAUAAUAUAUGUAAAGCCGUGUGUUGAAGUGGACUUAUAGGAGGCUGACAU
This is an RNA transcript of Eucalyptus grandis, 2368 nucleotides long. It is a transcript of the gene named wall-associated receptor kinase-like 1, with no coding region annotated. The transcript is spliced from 3 exons. NCBI's taxonomy places the organism in Eukaryota, Viridiplantae, Streptophyta, Magnoliopsida, Myrtales, Myrtaceae. The record is from RefSeq and is a predicted model, not a curated record.